UAUAAGUAUUGUACAGCGAAACUGCGAAUGGCUCAUUACAUCAGUUAUAAUUUAUUUGAUAAUCGAAAGUUACAUGGAUAACCGUGACAAAUUACAGCUAAUACAUGCAGUCAGACCUGGUCCAAGGGUCGUAAUUAUUAGUAUUAAACCAUUUCCGAAAGGAGUGUGAUGAAUCAUAAUAAUCGAACGAAUCGCCUGGUGUGCGAUAAAUCAUUCAAGUUUCUGCCCUAUCAGCUUUGGAUGGUAGUGUAUUGGACUACCAUGGCAGUCACGGGUAACGGAGAAUUAGGGUUCGAUUCCGGAGAGGGAGCCUGAGAAACGGCUACCACAUCUACGGAAGGCAGCAGGAGCGAAAAUUGCCCAAUCCCGACACGGGGAGGCAGUGACGAGAAAUAACAACUCUUGGUUAUUCUAAGAAGUGUAAUGAGGAUAAUUUAAAACCCUUACCGAAAGCAAUUGGAGGGCAAGUCUGGUGCCAGCAGCCGCGGUAAUUCCAGCUCCAAUAGCGUAUAUUAAAGUUGUUGCAGUUAAAAAGCUCGUAGUUGAAGUUCUGGCUGAUCGAUCCUCGAGCUCUGUAGCCGAGGACUCGUCAGUCAUCCGCUUGCAAAUAUAUGUUCGCCUUUAACCGGGUGGCUAUAUGAGUAAGCAAUUUACCUUGAGAAAAACAGAGUGUUCCAGGCAGGUUUGUCCGGAAUGCAUUAGCAUGGAAUAAUAGAAUAUGACUGAAGUCGAUUUAUUGGUUUGAGGCUUUAGUAAUGAUU
This 761-nucleotide ribosomal RNA is filed under the name uncultured marine eukaryote. RNAcentral describes it as "SSU rRNA". It matches the Rfam family "Eukaryotic small subunit ribosomal RNA", at positions 64 to 870 of the family's 1831-position model. The record is from RNAcentral.